This 468-nucleotide ribosomal RNA is filed under the name uncultured bacterium. RNAcentral's name for it is "partial 16S ribosomal RNA". It matches the Rfam family "Bacterial small subunit ribosomal RNA", at positions 28 to 507 of the family's 1533-position model. The record is from RNAcentral.
GACGAACGCUGGCGGCGUGCUUAACACAUGCAAGUCGAACGGAAAGGCCCUGCUUUUGUGGGGUGCUCGAGUGGCGAACGGGUGAGUAACACGUGAGUAACCUGCCCUUGACUUUGGGAUAACUUCAGGAAACUGGGGCUAAUACCGGAUAGGAGCUCCUGCUGCAUGGUGGGGGUUGGAGAGUUUCGGCGGUUGGGGAUGGACUCGCGGCUUAUCAGCUUGUUGGUGGGGUAGUGGCUUACCAAGGCUUUGACGGGUAGCCGGCCUGAGAGGGUGACCGGCCACAUUGGGACUGAGACACGGCCCAGACUCCUACGGGAGGCAGCAGUGGGGAAUAUUGCACAAUGGGCGGAAGCCUGAUGCAGCAACGCCGCGUGCGGGAUGACGGCCUUCGGGUUGUAAACCGCUUUCGCCUGUGACGAAGCGUGAGUGACGGUAAUGGGUAAAGAAGCACCGGCUAACUACGUG